AGCGAACGCUGGCGGCAGGCUUAACACAUGCAAGUCGAACGCCCCGCAAGGGGAGUGGCAGACGGGUGAGUAACACGUGGGAACGUACCCUUUGGUUCGGAAUAACUUGGGGAAACUCAAGCUAAUACCGGAUAAGCCCUUUUGGGGAAAGGUUUACUGCCGAAGGAUCGGCCCGCGUCUGAUUAGCUAGUUGGUGAGGUAACGGCUCACCAAGGCGACGAUCAGUAGCUGGUCUGAGAGGAUGACCAGCCACACUGGGACUGAGACACGGCCCAGACUCCUACGGGAGGCAGCAGUGGGGAAUAUUGGACAAUGGGGGCAACCCUGAUCCAGCCAUGCCGCGUGAGUGAUGAAGGCCUUAGGGUUGUAAAGCUCUUUUACCCGGGACGAUAAUGACUGUACCGGGAGAAUAAGCCCCGGCUAACUUCGUGCCAGCAGCCGCGGUAA
RNAcentral lists this ribosomal RNA (447 nucleotides) under uncultured bacterium. RNAcentral describes it as "partial 16S ribosomal RNA". It matches the Rfam family "Bacterial small subunit ribosomal RNA", at positions 29 to 523 of the family's 1533-position model. The record is from RNAcentral.